This is a long non-coding RNA of Anneissia japonica, 801 nucleotides long. RefSeq lists it as uncharacterized. The record is from RefSeq and is a predicted model, not a curated record. The transcript has 3 exons. NCBI's taxonomy places the organism in Eukaryota, Metazoa, Echinodermata, Crinoidea, Comatulida, Comatulidae.
ACCCAGAUUUACACGAGCAGUGCGCAUCAGUGACUUGGCCUUUGCCGACAACAAGGUUGACUAAAUACGGCUUUUCCCUCUUCUUUUGGGAGCGAAAUACGGAGGCUUUUACAACAAUUUCCCCGCCAUGUUCCAUGAGAUAGAUUAACACUAUGAAUAUAUGAUUCAUUUGCAUACCGCCUACCCUGAAUUCUCUUUCUUAAAGAAGGUUAAUAGCAAAGAAAAUCUUCGCUAACUCGGCUAUACAUCGACUGAGCCGGUAUUAUUUUCAGAAGCGGUAAAAUGCUACAUCAAUGAUGAGGAUGACAUUAAUGAUUCUACAGAGUGUCAAUAGUUAACGUCGUGUAUACUGGCUUAAGGGCUGUUUUCUUGGAUUGACUUGCGUAUUGAUCACUCGGCUGACGCAAACCAUUAACCUAGACUGACGCAAAUAGUAACGCUCGAACCCGGUGUGACUUUUCAACUCAGAGUUACGAUUGACAGAUACCACGUUGACGAGAGUGAACGAGUGCAUAUAUCCAAAUAAGGCAUAGCAACAUUUUAUAUUUAUAAAUAAAUUAAUUUCUAUGUGGAUUAUUUAAACACUAUUGUUGUUAUUUUGUUUGUUUUGAUUUUAUUUCAACAUUGAAAUGAGGAAAAGCUUACGAAAUAAAAAAAAAAAAUUAAAAAUCCUACACUACACAGGCCUACAAAUUUACAAAGGUGAAACAAAUUAAUAAAAACAUGAAGUUAAAAAAAACCGAAUAUUUAUUAUUGUCCAUUUUGUCAUUAUUUAAAAAAAAAACUAUUUUCUCAUGCUAC